RNAcentral lists this ribosomal RNA (283 nucleotides) under uncultured bacterium. RNAcentral's name for it is "partial 16S ribosomal RNA". It matches the Rfam family "Bacterial small subunit ribosomal RNA", at positions 380 to 661 of the family's 1533-position model. The record is from RNAcentral.
CACCUGAUCAGCAUGCCGCGUGAGNAAGAAGGCUUCGGGUUGUAAAGCUCUUUUGUCAGGAAGAAACACCGGCUCUAACACAGUCCGGGAAUGACGGUACCUGAAGAAUAAGCACCGGCUAACUACGUGCCAGCAGCCGCGGUAAUACGUAGGGUGCGAGCGUUAAUCGGAAUUACUGGGCGUAAAGCGUGCGCAGGCGGUUAUACAAGACAGGCGUGAAAUCCCCGGGCUUAACCUGGGAAUGGCGCCUGUGACUGUAUAGCUAGAGUGUGUCAGAGGGGGG